CUACGGGGCGCAGCAGUGGGGAAUCUUGGACAAUGGGCGCAAGCCUGAUCCAGCCAUGCCGCGUGAGUGAAGAAGGUCUUCGGAUUGUAAAGCUCUUUUACCAGGGACGAUAAUGACGGUACCUGGAGAAUAAGCCCCGGCAAACUUCGUGCCAGCAGCCGCGGUAAUACGAAGGGGGCUAGCGUUGUUCGGAAUUACUGGGCGUAAAGCGCACGUAGGCGGGUCGUUAAGUCAGGGGUGAAAUCCCGGAGCUCAACUCCGGAACUGCCUUUGAUACUGGCGAUCUUGAGAUCGGAAGAGGUGAGUGGAAUUCCCAGUGUAGAGGUGAAAUUCGUAGAUAUUGGGAAGAACACCAGUGGCGAAGGCGGCUCACUGGUCCGAUACUGACGCUGAGGUGCGAAAGCGUGGGGAGCAAACAGGAUUAGAUACCCUAGUAGUC
RNAcentral lists this ribosomal RNA (439 nucleotides) under uncultured bacterium. RNAcentral describes it as "partial 16S ribosomal RNA". It matches the Rfam family "Bacterial small subunit ribosomal RNA", at positions 339 to 795 of the family's 1533-position model. The record is from RNAcentral.